GGCCUGGGGCAGGGGAGCGGGGGCUGGGAGGGUGCAGGACUCGCAGCCCCCAGCCCCUCCUUCCUCAGACCCAGGAGCCCUGAACCCCAUGCCCUCCUCCCUCAGACCCAGGAAUCCUGAACUCCACGCCCUCCUCCCUCAGACCCUGGAGUCCAGGCCCCCAGCCCCUCCUUCCUCAGACCCAGGAGUCUUGAACCACAGGGCCUCCUCCCCCAGGCCUUGGAGUCUGGGCCCCCCAGCCUCUCCUCCCUCAGAUCUGGGAGUGCAGGACCCAGGGCCCCUCUGCAAGCACCCAAAUGUGGGCCCCCAGGGCUGAGGAGCCCAUUCUUCAACUUCCUUUUCUCUUAUUCAGGAGUUUGCAAUCCUCACCCCCCCCCCCCCCGCCCGAGACUGGAAUCUGGACCUCCAGACCCCUCCCCAGGACGCAGGAGUCCCACGCCCUGGUUCCCUUCCCCCACCCAGAAAGCCAGGAACCGAAACCAUCCCCCCUUCUGCCCUCUGGACCCUGGAGUCCAGGCCUCCAUUCCUUGCCUCCCUCAGGACGCCCCCCCCCCACUCCCCCCACCUGCUCUGGCCCCCCGGGGUGCCGGCCAGCCUCCGGAGGAGCCCCAGGCCUCCGUUUCCCACGUCGGGCCCGCUUCCAUGGCCCCAGGUGCGACUGUUUCCGUCUCUAGCGGCCGGCUGGGCGGGGACUGCCCCAGGCACACGUACGGUCUUUGCGAAACACUUUAUUGGCGGAGGCUCACACAUUCUGACCGUGUCUCAGGCCAGAGAAUGACAGGAGGGUGACAGGUGCGCUGGGACCCUGAGGUGGCUCAGAUGGAAGCUGCAAGAACCAUGUCCGCAGGCCUGCUCCUCGGUGCCUCAGUUUCCCCCUUAUGAAACGGGAGGGUUAUGUUCCCUUCCGGGUCUGAAAUCCUGGUACAAGUGGGACGAAAGCCCCAGGGAGGACGUUCCCCACUCCCAGAACCUGCCCCGGAGCUCCUACCCCACACCCUGUGCCAGGAAAAGGACGUGUGCCCAAGAAGCCGUGGGCCUGGCGGCCCCUGCUGGCAGGGUCGGGGAGUGCGGCUCUCUCCGGAAGCUGGGGCAGGGACACCUGGGUGGUCGAGGGUUGUCCUGAGCCCUCGGGGCAGAGGGCAGAGGGCGGGGAAGCAGCGAGAGCUGCAGCCCGGCUCCGUCGGACGCAGGGUACGGAGCGGAGACGGGAAUCCUCGCCAGGUUCCUGGCCGCUCCAGCAAUCUUUCUGGGAAAGGA
This is a long non-coding RNA of Felis catus (domestic cat), 1257 nucleotides long. RefSeq lists it as uncharacterized. The record is from RefSeq and is a predicted model, not a curated record. Lineage: Eukaryota; Metazoa; Chordata; Mammalia; Carnivora; Felidae. The transcript is spliced from 2 exons.